GGGCGCGUAGCUCAGCGGGAGAGUACUUGCCUGACACGCAAGGGGCCGGUGGUUCGAUCCCACCCGCGCCCACCA
RNAcentral lists this transfer RNA (75 nucleotides) under Nitrospinota bacterium. RNAcentral's name for it is "tRNA-Val". It matches the Rfam family "tRNA". From Rfam's summary of the family: Transfer RNA (tRNA) molecules are approximately 80 nucleotides in length. Their secondary structure includes four short double-helical elements and three loops (D, anti-codon, and T loops). The record is from RNAcentral. Lineage: Bacteria; Pseudomonadati; Nitrospinota.